Molecule: long non-coding RNA, 771 nt
Filed under: Fukomys damarensis (Damara mole-rat)
Lineage: Eukaryota; Metazoa; Chordata; Mammalia; Rodentia; Bathyergidae
Description: lncRNA (ENSFDAG00000027292.1)
Source: RNAcentral
GGGGGAUUUAGCUCAGCGGUUCGGAUACCUGCCUUGCAAGUGCAAGGACCCGAGUUCGAUCCCUGGUACAAAAAAAAAAAAAAUUAUAAUCCUGUAAAAGCAAGUCACCUGGAAAAUAGGAAAAUAGAGUUGUUACAAUGUGGUCUGCAGGAGGCUAAAAGCCAAAUGUUCUCCCUUUUCCCUUUAACCCUGGCCUGCACCUGCUCAUUAGUGGUUUUACGAGAAACACCAGUCCUGACUUCUGGCCCUCACAGCCUAUGAAGUUUAAUCAGAGUUGUACAGACCGGACUACUUCUGUCCCUGAGCUUUGCUGCUUUCUGAGGAAGCUGAGUGCGAUUCAAAUUAGGAAAAGGGAGAGAAUUUUUCAGCUGUCCCUGCUGUCCGUGCUGUCCUACCAUCUCCCACAGUGAUGUCACCGGAGCCUGAGCACCUGAGGCCCUUGCUCCUUCUGCCUUCUGGAGAUCAAUGGAAUUUUACCAAACCCUUGAUCCACUGCGACACAACGACCUUAUCUUUCCUCCCGUGGGGGCCCUCAGCCCAAAGGGGAGACCUUGCAGACAGUGGCCCACAAACAAUGGAACCAACACUGCAGGUGGAAGGAAUCGCCACAAGAUGGCGCACGGCCGAGUUUGCUCAGACAGCUUUCAUGAAAAUUUUUUUAAAAUCACUGAAAAGCACCAUGAGAAAUCAUCAGCCCAGGGACCUCCAGAUAUCUUAUAUUUCUUAUUCAUACCAAUAAAAUUUUUUAUCUUCUUGAUCCCAUUUACUUAU